GAACGCUGGCGGCAGGCCUAACACAUGCAAGUCGAACGGUAACAGGAAGCAGCUUGCUGCUUGCUGACGAGUGGCGGACGGGUGAGUAAUGUCUGGGAAACUGCCUGAUGAGGGGGAUAACUACUGGAAACGGUAGCUAAUACCGCAUAACGUCGCAAGACCAAAGAGGGGGACCUUCGGGCCUCUUGCCAUCAGAUGUGCCCAGAUGGGAUUAGCUUGUUGGUGGGGUAACGGCUCACCAAGGCGACGAUCCCUAGCUGGUCUGAGAGGAUGACCCAGCCACACUGGAACUGAGACACGGUCCAGACUCCUACGGGAGGCAGCAGUGGGGAAUAUUGCACAAUGGGCGCAAGCCUGAUGCAGCCAUGCCGCGUGUAUGAAGAAGGCCUUCGGGUUGUAAAGUACUUUCAGCGGGGAGGAAGGUGUUGUGGUUAAUAACCACAGCAAUUGACGUUACCCGCAGAAGAAGCACCGGCUAACUCCGUGCCAGCCGCCGC
Molecule: ribosomal RNA, 497 nt
Filed under: uncultured bacterium
Lineage: Bacteria
Description: bacterial SSU rRNA
Rfam family: Bacterial small subunit ribosomal RNA
Source: RNAcentral